Small nuclear RNA from Rhineura floridana, 107 nucleotides. The record is from RefSeq and is a predicted model, not a curated record. NCBI's taxonomy places the organism in Eukaryota, Metazoa, Chordata, Lepidosauria, Squamata, Rhineuridae.
GUGCUCACUUUGACAGCACAUAUACUAAAAUGGGAAUGAUAUAAAGAAGAUUAGCAUGACCCCUGAGGAAGGAUGAGACCAAAAUUUGCGAAGUGUUCCAUAUUGGG